CGGAGGGGCUAGCGUUGUUCGGAAUUACUGGGCGUAAAGCGCACGUAGGCGGACCAUCAAGUUGGGGGUGAAAUCCCGGGGCUCAACCCCGGAACUGCCUCCAAAACUGCUGGUCUGGAGGUCGAGAGAGGUGAGUGGAAUUCCGAGUGUAGAGGUGAAAUUCGUAGAUAUUCGGAGGAACACCAGUGGCGAAGGCGGCUCACUGGCUCGAUACUGACGCUGAGGUGCGAAAGCGUGGGGAGCAAACAGGAUU
This 253-nucleotide ribosomal RNA is filed under the name uncultured bacterium. RNAcentral's name for it is "partial 16S ribosomal RNA". It matches the Rfam family "Bacterial small subunit ribosomal RNA", at positions 527 to 779 of the family's 1533-position model. The record is from RNAcentral.